This 253-nucleotide ribosomal RNA is filed under the name uncultured bacterium. RNAcentral describes it as "partial 16S ribosomal RNA". It matches the Rfam family "Bacterial small subunit ribosomal RNA", at positions 524 to 776 of the family's 1533-position model. The record is from RNAcentral.
UACGUAGGGUGCGAGCGUUAAUCGGAAUUACUGGGCGUAAAGCGUGCGCAGGCGGCUUUGCAAGACAGAUGUGAAAUCCCCGGGCUUAACCUGGGAACUGCAUUUGUGACUGCAUGGCUGGAGUGCGGCAGAGGGAGAUGGAAUUCCGCGUGUAGCAGUGAAAUGCGUAGAUAUGCGGAGGAACACCGAUGGCGAAGGCAAUCCCCUGGGCCUGCACUGACGCUCAUGCACGAAAGCGUGGGGAGCGAACAGG